CAAUGAGAUGCCGUGAAUUUAACCACCUCUACACCCAGCAGUGUUACACAGCGAUAGACCCGUCCCCACCGGUACUGUACCCCAGUGUAACACAGCGACAGACCUGUCCCCACCAGUGCUGUUUGCCAGCUCAAGUGACUCGGGCAGCGUGGGCCACAGCUGAUGUGGACAAUGAUGCCCGGUUUACCUAUGGUGAGUGUC
Molecule: long non-coding RNA, 201 nt
Organism: Rhincodon typus (whale shark)
Lineage: Eukaryota; Metazoa; Chordata; Chondrichthyes; Orectolobiformes; Rhincodontidae
Exons: 3
Source: RefSeq, a predicted model, not a curated record